This 345-nucleotide unclassified non-coding RNA is filed under the name soil metagenome. RNAcentral's name for it is "partial contains 5.8S ribosomal RNA, internal transcribed spacer 2, and large subunit ribosomal RNA". The stretch from base 1 to 119 matches the Rfam family "5.8S ribosomal RNA", at positions 35 to 154 of the family's 154-position model. The record is from RNAcentral.
GAUGAAGAACGCAGCGAAAUGCGAUACGUAAUGUGAAUUGCAAAUUCAGUGAAUCAUCGAGUCUUUGAACGCACAUUGCGCCCCCUGGUAUUCCGGGGGGCAUGCCUGUCCGAGCGUCAUUGCUGCCCUCAAGCACGGCUUGUGUGUUGGGCCCCGUCCUCCGAUCCCGGGGGACGGGCCCGAAAGGCAGCGGCGGCACCGCGUCCGGCCCUCGAGCGUAUGGGGCUUUGUCACCCGCUCUGUAGGCCCGGCCGGCGCUUGCCGAUCAACCCAAAUUUUUAUCCAGGUUGACCUCGGAUCAGGUAGGGAUACCCGCUGAACUUAAGCAUAUCAAUAAGCGGAGGA